RNAcentral lists this ribosomal RNA (253 nucleotides) under uncultured bacterium. RNAcentral describes it as "partial 16S ribosomal RNA". It matches the Rfam family "Bacterial small subunit ribosomal RNA", at positions 524 to 776 of the family's 1533-position model. The record is from RNAcentral.
UACGGGGGGGGCAAGCGUUGUUCGGAAUUACUGGGCGUAAAGGGCUCGUAGGCGGCCAACUAAGUCAGACGUGAAAUCCCCAGGCUUAACCUGGGAACUGCGUCUGAUACUGGAUGGCCUGAAUUCGGGAGAGGGAUGCAGAAUUCCAGGUGUAGCGGUGAAAUGCGUAGAUAUCUGGAGGAAUACCGGUGGCGAAGGCGGCAUCCUGGACCGAGAUUGACGCUGAUGAGCGAAAGCUAGGGGAGCAAACGGG